UUGGAGGGCAAGUCUGGUGCCAGCAGCCGCGGUAAUUCCAGCUCCAAUAGCGUAUAUUAAAGUUGUUGCAGUUAAAAAGCUCGUAGUUGAAUUUCGGGAUUCAUCCGUUGGUCGGGCCUCACGGUCCGUACUGGUGUGAUGGGUUCCUACCUUCUGAACAACCGGCAUGCCAUUAAUUUGGUGCGCCGGGGAAGCAGAACUAUUACCUUGAAAAAAUUAGAGUGCUUAAAGCAGGCAAGUGCCUGAAUAGGUUAGCAUGGAAUAAUAAAAUAGGACGGCAUGGUUCUAUUUUGUUGGUUUCUAGGAUCACCGUAAUGAUUAAUAGGGAUAGUUGGGGGCAUUAGUAUUCAAUUGUCAGAGGUGAAAUUCUUGGAUUUAUUGAAGACUAACUUCUGCGAAAGCAUUUGCCAAGGAUGUUUUCAUUAAUCAAGAACGAAAGUUAGGGGAUCGAAGACGAUCAGAUACCGUCGUAGUCUUAACCAUAAACUAUGCCGACUAGGGAUCGGACGAUGUUAAUUUUUUAAUGACUCGUUCGGCGCCUUACGGGAAAC
Molecule: ribosomal RNA, 551 nt
Filed under: uncultured Glomeromycotina
Lineage: Eukaryota; Fungi; Glomeromycota
Description: SSU rRNA
Rfam family: Eukaryotic small subunit ribosomal RNA
Source: RNAcentral